AAAUUGAAGAGUUUGAUCAUGGCUCAGAUUGAACGCUGGCGGCAGGCCUAACACAUGCAAGUCGAACGGUAACAGGAAGCAGCUUGCUGCUUUGCUGACGAGUGGCGGACGGGUGAGUAAUGUCUGGGAAACUGCCUGAUGGAGGGGGAUAACUACUGGAAACGGUGGCUAAUACCGCAUAACGUCGCAAGACCAAAGAGGGGGACCUUCGGGCCUCUUGCCAUCAGAUGUGCCCAGAUGGGAUUAGCUUGUUGGUGAGGUAACGGCUCACCAAGGCGACGAUCCC
RNAcentral lists this ribosomal RNA (286 nucleotides) under Salmonella enterica. RNAcentral describes it as "partial 16S ribosomal RNA". It matches the Rfam family "Bacterial small subunit ribosomal RNA", at positions 1 to 283 of the family's 1533-position model. Lineage: Bacteria; Pseudomonadati; Pseudomonadota; Gammaproteobacteria; Enterobacterales; Enterobacteriaceae. The record is from RNAcentral. RNAcentral also lists the same sequence under 1 other name.